Molecule: long non-coding RNA, 6382 nt
Filed under: Medicago truncatula (barrel medic)
Lineage: Eukaryota; Viridiplantae; Streptophyta; Magnoliopsida; Fabales; Fabaceae
Description: long non-coding RNA (MTRU_LNC006438)
Source: RNAcentral
AUACUACAAAUAUAAAUCAAUCUUUGACAUAAAACAGGGUACUUAUAAAUAUAUUUCUGUAAAAAGUCAGGGAAAAUGAAUUAAAAUGUUGGUAUAGGGUACUUAGCAAGAUAAGAGGUUGCCAACAGCAACUCCCUUCCCUUCACCAUUAUGAUGAGAGUUGUAAUUAUAUCUAUCUCUGUUUUUGGUCGACAGCUCUUUUGAUGUUACAGUUUGUUGUGUUAUUUGGCCAAGUGUUUCUGUUGUUACACUACAUCAUACAUAGUUUUCUCAUGAAAGGAAAACAGUGUUUGAUUGAUGCCAAGACUUAGGUCCUCGAAUAAAAAAUUAUAUGUAAUUUUACAAGUGUGUUGAAUAUCCUUGGAUAUUUAUAGACAAACCUAUAUAUAUUGAAAUUUGUUGUCAAAAAUCUACGGGAGCAAUAUGAAUUCAGGUAAUAAAUUUAGAGAAAUGCUAAUUAAAAAAACUUUUUUUUAACAAAAAGUACUAAAUAAUAAAGUGGUGUAAUUUUUUUUGAAAGAAAGUGGUGUAAUUAUUAUUACAGUAACAAAGUAACAACUUAUAUUUUUAAGAUAAAAUUUGAUUUAAUGUAUUCUUUAAACAAUAUUCCAACCACACUUAUCAACUGUACUCAUAAAUUUACAAGAAAGAAGCAAAGAGUUUUUUUAUUCAUACACACUUUUCUCAUUUAACUCUAUAAGUUAGAUUAAUCUACAUAUUUACUCUCUCGACCAAAAUAACCCUUUUAUUAGGCAAAUGAGUUAGGAUGAUAAGGGAGGCCAAGUAGGGCAGGUGACAUGCUAUAUUCUUCUUGAUUGCACCUCUAAAUAUAGGAUGUCACCAUAUGGUUCACAUUUUUUUUUUCUUCUCAUUCCUAAUUAAUUAGAGUUAGCGUGUCAUUUACUCCAUAGACUAAAGAAGUUUUUAUUGUUUUAGGGUCCAUCUAAUAUGACUCAUGCUAUUUUUAGUAAAAUUACUUUUGAAUGUGAAACCCUAAUCCGGUUAUCACAAAAGCUAUUUUUGUAAAACUUGUGAAAGCGAAGCCCUAAUUCGAUUAUCACAAAAACUUGUCUUGUAUAUCAAGAAUAGAAAAAUUGUCUAAUCAGAUAGAAUAAUACUACAAUACCAUUUCUCUUGCAAGCACCAAAUUCUUAAAUUAAAGCUUAGAAUAUUCACAACACACAUUUUAUUUCGUUUUCAUUCUCUUUCAUCUCACAGACUUCCUGGAAGCAUUUUGAUUAGAUUUUGAAAGCAUCAAUUGGCCUUUUUCCUUGUUGGUAGUACUCGAGAAAUAUCUUAGCAUAAUCUUUUACUGGUUUGUAUAAUACUGGCCUUGACUCGUUCACUAGUUUGUCAAUCGGUUGAAUCUCUUUCUCUGAAUUUGGGCGGCAAAACAUAGCAACUGAGAGCCUUUCCCUUUCUGCAUUUACCACUACUCUGUGUAUUGGACUCUGAAAAAUCCCAUUGCUCAUUAUCUGUGUAUUGCAUUCAAUUUCCUUGAAAACAUAAGUAAAAAUAUGUAAAAGUAAUAAAUACUCAUAUUUCUAUGCAAAAUUUAUCAAUUUUGAUUAUUUAAACAAUGCUCCAAAGACACUUAUUAAUUUUAUUGUAUUUUUUAUGAAACAAGAGCAGUGGCUUCCGAAGAGGUUGCUCAUAUCAUUAUUCAUUCCACUUUAAGGCUUGACUAACUUAGCACUUUCAUGCUAGCAGGAUAUCCUCUCCGAGCAACACAUCCUCAAACUCAUAGCAAACUACAACUUAUGCAUCACAAACUUCAAGUUUUCACAUAAACUACAAGUGUAAUACGAGCAAUAAGUUCUCACGCAUCCUUAAAUACUCAAGGUUUCUUGUGAAGCAUGAGCUCAUUAUGAGCAUAUAACUUAGUUCCUUGCGAACUAAAGACUCAUCAAAGUCAGGUACAACUUAAAGCUUCCCACGAGCAUGAUCUUUUCCCUAACAUAAAACUGCUUGAAGUCAUCACUCUUUAGUCCAAGAAUAACGACUUGGGGGCAACUGUUCUUGACUGCCCAAAAACAUAUGCUCGUAAUCCAAGGCCUAAUAAGCAGGCUUAAUUUGGCAUUGUACACAUAACCCCUGUCCAUGGAGGGGGGUGGGGCUCGCAACUAUUUGGAGCAACGAUUCAAAACAAUGAUUCAUAAUUGCCUCCAUCAUUGCAAACUAGUAACACUUUACAGUCGAGGAACAACAACAUACGUCAAAAUACCGAUUGAUUUCUGUCCCUUAAACCCCCUUUCUAGCUCAAAAUACUAACUUGGGUAUUAGAGUGUUUGCGGUUACACCACCCCAAGCACUCAAGAACAACAAGCUCUUUGAUCAUAUAAGUAUCUUAUACUUAUUGUAAUUAAUUUUAGUCAUUUCUGUCAAUUUCAAAUAAUCAAUCUUUCUUUUAAUUUUUUAAUAAACAACGUGGUUGACAUAAUAUGGAGCACUUAUUUAAUUAAUAUCAAUACAAAACAAUACAAAGAGUCAAACAAAAUUGAUGUAUUUAGUUUAGAUUUUUAAAUAUAAGCAAGAAAAAGUCAAAUAACAUUGAUGUAUCUGGUUCAAAAUUUCAAAUGUUUAACCAACCAUAUAAACUUUGUUUGACUCUACUUAUUUAUAUCAAGAGUUUUUCUGUCAUGUGCAAAUUUGCUCACCAAUAUACCAAAACAUAAAUUUAACAACGAAAGUUAUUACCUACCUCCAUUUGAUCACCAACAUUAAUCACAAGAGCAUCAUGGAUUAUUGGAACCUUAAACCACCGGUUAUCUUUGAGAACUUGGAGGCCUUCUACCUUUUUAUCUUGCAGCAAAAAAGUUAUAGAUGAUGAAUCAGAAUGUGGCUUCAGCCCCAGAGCAUGAUCAGCCAUAGGACAUGGAGGGUAGUAAUUGGUUCUCAUAGACAUUGUACCUCUCUCUCCACAUUCCUUUAGGAAACAAUCCUCUUCCAAGUUCAGUGUCUUCGCCAUGACCCUUAAAAUUACUUCAUAUAACUGCCAGACACAUUCGGUAUAUUGCUGUAUAGUAUUCCUGCAUUCACAUAUCCGCCGACAUGAUUCUUCAUUUACAUAUUAAUAGAGCAAAUAAUUGCUACUUCAUGCCAUGUAAAAUAAUAUUAAGUGUUAUUGAGAACUUAGUGACGAUAAGAAUUUAUACCUGAAAUCAAUGGGGUUUUGGGGCCAAAGUUUGAAAUUCCUUUGAUCUUCAGGAUGUACCUUCAAAAAUAAUCUGUCACACCAAUCAAGCAUUUGAUUUUCUGAAUAUAUUGUAUCAUUUCCAUAUCCUUCAAUAUUGAUUUGCUCCCUUUCAUAUUUUUGCUUUUCUUCCUUUGGAAGUUCAAAAAAUUGCUUUGAAACUUCACUCACUUUGUCAAGAAACGAGCUUGUCAUCCCAUGGUUUAUCACCUGAAUAGCGGAAAACAGUUGCGAAUAAUUUUGGAGCUUACGGAGGAAUACAUAACUAAAAUAAAAGUAUGUAUAAAUAAAUAAAUAAAUAAUAAUGAAAAUGAGACCAGAAAGAAGCCACAUGAAUGAAGUGCAGAUUGGAGUUUAUGAAGCUCAUGUUGUGAUGUAGAUGGAGAAGUGAGGUUGGCAAUGUCAAUAAUUGGAACAUGAAAAUCUGAUUCUGAAGGAAGAAGAGCAUCACGAAAUCCAACACCACCUUCAUUGUAUAUAUAAUUAUUUGGUGGAAGAUUUUCAAAAUUCAAUGCCAACUCUUGAACUGAUUUAUUACCAACUAUCUCUACCUCUGCCGACACUUCCAUUUUUGUUAUUGUUAUUAUGAUGAAAUUACUAAACAAGUAAUAAGAAGAAGCAAUAAUAAUCAAACUAGACAAAAACCGGUGUGUUGCACGUUUGAAUGCAGAUGCUCAUCUUAUGUGGUCCAUUGAAUAUUUGACAUAUAUCUUACACUUAUCUUAUCUACAGUGUAAGAUAACUAUAAGAAUCAUGCUAAAAUAUGUCUUAAAAGCAUUUGAGAUUCAUUGUGACGUUGGCUUGAGACAUUAAAGUUUACUCAUCUCGAAGUCUCGUAUUAGAUUCUUUUUGUGUUGAUUUUGGUGGAUUAUUUUACCUUCUUAAAAGAAACACUUAUUGAUGACUCGGGAGAAAAAAAUAAUUGAUAAGUCUUUAUUAUAAAAAAAUUCUUUUUAAAGUUUUAAUGUGUUAAAUACGUUAUUUUCAAUAUAAAAUUCCAUCUUUGAAAAUCUAAACAAAUGACAUUUCCGUUAAUAUAAAGUCUUUUUUUUGGGCAAACAACUAUUUGGUCUCUUGAUGUACGCCUAACCAUGAGACUUGUCCCUAAGACCCUAACUUAGGAAAAUACACAAAAAAGCCUCCGACUCAAAAAUUGGUUAGCCACUUUGGUCUUGGAAAUUAUAUUAUACCGUUAACUCUACAAAAAAAACUAAGCUGACAUUUUUUUUUGGUGACAAGUAAGGCAUGGCGUGGCUAAGCAUGGCAAUGGAGCGGGGUGGGGACGGAUUUUACCUUCCCCGUUCUCAUACCCGAUUCUCAUAUACUUACCCUUUACCCUAUAUCCAUACCCAACAAGGAUGAGAAAUUGAAUCCCAUCCCCGUCCCCCACUACAAGAAACAUCACCUUUUGCUAGGGGCAAAAUCCUUGAGAAAAUGACAGAAUCCCUGGGAAAAGGGACGUUUGUGAGGGAAUUUGCCAAGGGCGGAAGUACUGGCAAAAGCGCUCGUCGCAAACAUUUUGUCAGGGGUUACACCCCUGGGACAAAAACGAGGGGCUCAACCCCUGGUAUAUGGCCUAACUUUUUCCCUGUUAUAACCGCUGGCAAAAUCCCUCACUUUUUUCUGCAACUGACACAUUGAAUGACUAACUAACACGCUGACGCACUAACUGAUAGAAUGGCAAAUUUGAUUCGCAAAAAACCAGGGACUAGUGAGGGGUUUAACCCCUGGCCAAGUGUAUAUUAUUUUUUUUUUAAAAAAAGUUUUAUUUAUAAAACCGAAUAUUUAUUUAAUUAAUUAAAUAUUAUAAAAUUAUUUUAAUUAAUUAAAAAAUCGAUUUUUUUUUAUUUUAUAAAAAAACAGAUUUUAAUUUAACUAAAAUAAUUGUAACAUAGUUUUAAUUUAAAUAAACAACUUUCUUGUACUAUACUAUUUUUAAACAAUAUACAUUAUUAUAUUAUAUUGUUUUAUUUUAUAAUUUGAUAAAAUAUAAUAACAGAUUUUAACAUACUUUUAGAAAAACAGAUUUCAAUACACUAUUUAAAUAAAAUGUUUUCCAACAAUAAACCUUUUUAGUAUUUAUUUUUUAUGAAGUAUUUUUAUUUUAGAAACAGUUUUUAAAAUUAGCAAAAUUUAAAAAAAAAACAUAAACACAAAAAUUAAUAAGUUAAGAGAGUUUUAAUUACCAAAGUUAGAGAAAUGUGUUGAUGUUGAAGAGUAGAGUGUAUAGAAAUGGAGGAGUAAUUUUUUUUUUCUUCUAAGUUUGAGACACUUGCAAUGAAGAAACGGACCUGAUUGUAUAUAUAUAGGCCAGGAAAAAAACGAGGGCUCCAUCGACGGGUAGCCGCUCGCAGACCAAGUCAAAUCCUAGCUAGGGCUAGGUGCAAAAAGGUCAGUAAAAAGCCACGACUUCAUGCAAUAAACGAGGGGUUUUACCCCUGUCACGCCUCCUGCAACAGCUGUUGUGCAGGUUGACUUGACAACCUAAUGACAAUAGCAGAGAUUCUCUGCUGAAUCACGCGUCAGAGGGGCAGUCCGUCGGAUAUGUCGUGGCUUUUUGCUGCAAUUUCUGAAACAUGGCAGGCGGUUUGAAUUUUGAUUUUCGCGGGCAAACCAUACCAGGGCGUGUGUACAUUUGUGAGGGCCUCACCCCUGUCAAAUGGUUAGUGGUCCCCGAAUUCCCAAAAUCAAUAUACCAGGGGUUUUCCUUGGCUUAGGCCCUGACAAAUUUCUUAGGGGUUUUAAAACCCCUGGCAAUAUGUCAUAUUUCUUUUAGUGCCCGACGGGUUCGGGUAUCCCCGCCUCAUCCCCGUUCCCGCAUUGAAUAAUUUUUUUAAUAAAAAAUAGAAGUUUUUUUGCAUCCCCAAGAGCAACGUUGUAAUACAUUAUCCCACAAUAAGCUCACUUUCACAUUUGUUAGACAAAAUGAUUUAGUUGAUCUUUAAAUAUCAAUGGUAGUUUUUAUUACAAGAUAAGAGGGUACUUAGCAAGAUAAGAGGGUGCCAACAGCAACUCCCUUCCCUUCACCAUUAUGAGAGUUGUAAUUAUUUCUAUCUCUGUUUUUGGUCGACAGCUCUUUUGAUGUUACAGUUUGUUGUGUUAUUUGGCCAAGUGUUUCUGUUGUUACACUACAUCAUACAUAGUUUUCUCAUGAAAGGAAAACAGUGUUUGAUUGAUGCCAAGACUUAG